RNAcentral lists this long non-coding RNA (236 nucleotides) under Elaeis guineensis (African oil palm). RNAcentral describes it as "long non-coding RNA (EGUI_LNC008706)". The record is from RNAcentral. Lineage: Eukaryota; Viridiplantae; Streptophyta; Magnoliopsida; Arecales; Arecaceae.
CAACCCCAUGGCACCACCGGUGGCCCACGACAAACCCCCCCUCGGACGGCUCCACCCCAUGGUGGCCUGAUCACAAAAAAAAAGGUUGAAAACCUUACCUCCAACGGACGGUGGACGAUGGGAGCCGCGAUCGGCGGAUGGCGGACAAUGGGCACUGCAGUCGGCGGACACGGUCGGACAAUGGACGACGGUGAUGGAGAAAGGCUCGUCGGUGGGAAGAGAUGGAGGGGAGAGUA